UCAUGCCACAUUUAAUAUUAGCAUCUAGUCAGCCAAUACGUCAUCCUCAAGUCAAAGGACGUAUUGUUGUCCAUUCAGUUGAAAUGUCAAAAUCACCAUCCAGUUUAUGUCGCCUGUCUAGUGACACAUUCAAUUAAUCUUAUCAGCAACACAUCACUAUGCAGUUGUCCUCUCUAGUCAGCAUCUUGGUAAUGUCACAUUGUUAUCAUUGUUCAGUCAGCACCUUGUCAGAUCCAUGUCUUUUUCGCAAUACAUUACUUUUCCUAUCGAUGCUCCUCCGGCAUCACUUUGCUUCCUAGUGGCAAGUUACUUUCCAAUUUAGAUAUAUAGCUCUAGAUGACAUUAUAUGAACAUCGUAGAAUAUUACGUAUUUGACAGUAAAAUAUUUACUUGCCUUGAGAAAUGUGUACUACCUUGAUAAAAAAAAAGAAGGGAAAAUAACAGCUUAACAUAUUGCAAGUAACCUAGGACUAACUAUAUAAAGGAGUUUUUCUCAUAUAUCGUUUCUAAAUUAAAGCAAUAAUUUCUUUCUCUAUUUUAAAAAAAAAAUUGUACUACGGGAGGUCUAACCUUAGAGUCACAUAUCAUGGCUAUUCAUGUGCCUUGACACAUAUUUAAAGUUUGGCAUGUUUGGCUUGGUUAAUUGACCCUUCUUCUAAUGUGUGGGGUUUGAAGACCUUAGUCAAGCUUCUGUCAAGGGGAACAGCUACCAAAUGUGUAUUUAAUUUUUAAUCUGUUGCAAUGUUACUGUCACCGUAUAUGCUCGUGAUUGUACAUGAAAUGCC
Molecule: long non-coding RNA, 785 nt
Filed under: Solanum tuberosum (potato)
Lineage: Eukaryota; Viridiplantae; Streptophyta; Magnoliopsida; Solanales; Solanaceae
Description: long non-coding RNA (STUB_LNC008379)
Source: RNAcentral